CCAGCUACAUGAAAGUGGCGUGGGCACGAAGGUCAAUGUACGAGAGGGUUCCUGGUACCUGCCGCAUGGAGAGCCAGCUGUACCUGGAGCCGCAACUUUUCAGCCAGCUCACAUGUGCGCGUUGCUACAAGUACAUGCCAAACCUGGCCUUCAAGAACGCCUCUAGGCUGACGUACUGUCGCGGUGGCAGGUUGUGCCGCAGAGAGUGUGGCGGUGAAUGCUUCCAGCCCUAUGGUAACGCAAGCGACGCGAGUAUCGUGGAAACGUUCAAGAAGGGGUUCUACGCCGACCGCUGGAACAGCUGCUGCCUCGCUGCUCGGGAAUGCUGCCGGGAGAUGCUCGAAGACGAGCUGGCUGAUCCAGCCACUGCCAAAGACGGGCUACACUGUCCUGCGACAUGGGACGGCUGGACGUGCUACAAAGACACGCCAGCCGGGAUGACGGUGCAUAAGCCGUGCCCCGCGCACGCGUACUUUAUCACCGAGCAACCGCAGUGCAUCAAGAUGUCGAAGAAAACCUGCUGGGAGAACGGCACAUGGUUCUACAGCCAGGAGUACGGCAAGGAGUAUACUUUCUACGACUGUGGCUCACUUGAGUACCAUCGCUCCAUGACCAUCUUCUCCCUCGUGCUGCACUCGCUGUCAGUAGUCGUCCUGGUGCCCGCCAUCAUCAUAUUCUCCGUCUACAAGCAGCUGCAGGUUCACCGCAUUGCCCUGCACAAGAACUUCUGCGUUGCCAUGGUGCUGUACGACAUCAGCGUGAUCCUGGUGGACUCCGUCUUCAUCUUGGACCACGUGAACGAGGAGAAGAACAUACGCGUCAACGAGAACCCGAACCUAUGCAAGGUUCUCUACACUCUCUCUCGCUACUUCCGGUUGUGCCAGUAUGCCUGGAUGUUCUGCGAGGGCUUCUACCUGCAUAGGCUCAUCACGUCGGCCUUCGCGGAGCAGAAAUCGCUUCUGGUCUUUUACGUCAUCGGCUGGGGUUGCCCCGCAAUAUUCGUCGCCAUGAAUGCAGCCCUGCGAGCCCUGCGAACCGGCCACCCGUGCUGGAUGGACAACAUAGAGGGAUACAACUGGAUAACCCUGGCUCCGGGUCUCUUCUGCCUAUUCGCCAACUUCGUCUUCCUCUGCAACAUCAUUCGCGUUCUCGUCACAAAGCUCAGAAGCACCCAUGCCAGCGAACCUAGUCAGUUUCGGAAAGCCGUACGAGCGGUGCUGGUUUUGUUCCCGCUCUUUGGUAUGCACUUUCUCAUGACUGUGUACAGAAGCCCAGCGAACUGUGGAGCAUGGGAGGUAUAUCAGUAUAUCAGCAAAGCUUCAGAUGGUCUACAGGGAUUCUUUGUAGCUGUCAUAUUCUGCUACUUCAACGGAGAGGUUCAGGGCCAAAUCACGCGCUCCAUAGAACUCGUGAAGCUGGAGUCGUCGCUGGCCAGGGCAUGCGACAGGAGGCGCUCAACGCGAACCCAGGUCCUAGCAUGCUGACGACGCGAGGAGCGCCCAAUGCUCACACUCCGUCCCGUCGCCCGCCGGGUGCCGGCUCUGUCACAUCGGCUAAGUGUAUUCGGCCAGAGCCCCUAUCGGCCUGCACCGCCCCGUGCUGUGCCAUUUACGUCGUUCGCACGGCCGCUAUCGACUGCGACGGGGAUUCUGUAAUCCAACGGGCCGGAGCCUUGCUAUAACCGACUUGUCCGUGUCUACACACGUCUCGCCGAUUCGCGAGUCAAUCAGUCCAAACAACGUCUUCUUCACGAAGUACGCGCGCGUUCUGAACGGUGGCAGCAUCGUUGAAGACAAGAUCUGGAAACGAACACUCAGGUACCUGCGAGUAGCAGCAAUGAUCAUCGUUGCCAGCCCACUUCCCCUGCAUUCACCAGUCAGUGUUACCGAGAAUGUCGUAAUACAAACCAAACCUCUGUCUGAACUGAUGUGACUUCACCGGCAUCGGUUCACAUGUGCAAAACCAACUUUGGUGCGCUCCAUUUACCAAGAACUAUUCUCGUCACGUGCAGCACCUUACGCAUGAAUCCUUCCCUUGGAUUGAGUGGCAGCUAUGAAAUAGACAUGUGCGUUUCAUAAACUAGACCUCAGGACAUUGCGUCGACACCCCAAGUGACUUUUUUUCUUUCUUUAUGCAGACACGUGCAAAUGUAUACACUAAACGUUUUGUGACGUCACUGCACUGACGUCUCACACUGUGCGCCCGCCUGAUUUGGUGUUUCCUUUUCAGCGUAGCUCGUGAAUGGUCUACUGAAUAAACAGCACUAUGCAUAAUAUAGUUAUGACCUGUGUGGCAAAACACCAUAACAUUACUUCGCUGGUGUACAACAAAGCAGCAAUUGAUCAUUUGUGAUCAUCUUGGAAGCAUAUCUUUCGUGAGAACAGUCGGCCAGCACUUUACUUAAAAAGUAGAAUUGAACCCAGCAUGUAUUGAUUCUUUCGCCCUGCAAUAACCAAUUUUACAUAGAAGCUCUCCAUUUCUUCAAGACAGUCUAUCUUGGCAAAGAAUACGUAAACUAUAAAGACUGAGGCACCUGUUCCGUCUACUUCUGUCAUAUCAACGUCAUCAGGCCGUAAUAAGCGGUAAAUUUGUUGUAACAGUUCUGCGAUGCAGUUAAUUUAUUUUGGAAUAAUUAUCAUGCGUGUUUAUUGCAACAACACUUGAGCACUCUCAACAGCUCAAACCUUGUCUGUAAGGCAGGGAAUGCUUGGGAAGUAUUAGAAGUCAGCAUGCUAAAACGGACACAAAUAUCGAAUUGCCGAGAGGCACCUAAAAAUAAUUAUGCUUACACGUUUUAGGCUAGUUUGAUUACCUUAAGGAUUUUGGUGUAAGUCUUAACUGCCGUUAAUAAGAUGAUGAAGGGCUAAUCUCCCGUCUAUACUGGGGCAUCGGAACAAUAGUUAAUUACAAUGGCGGGGAAUAUUUGCAGCACACAGCUGCCUCUGGAGUGUGGUCCAUAUACCAACACGUCACGAGGCCGUGAGCAGAGGCUUCGAUGUAGGCUCUAUUCGCUCGAAACGUUUCUAAAUAAUAACAUUUCGAAAGCGUCAUAUAGGUAUUCGUGGUUUGCCAAAAUGAGCAUUUACUGAAGUCCCUUGAGACCAGGCAUACUGUUAUAGCCCACCUGAAAGAAGCAUGUAGGUCAAAGCUCGAUAGCUGAACGUGCAAGCCGACGUCUUGUGUGUGCUUCAGCGCAUUCUUCUCAUGAAACAAAACGGCCUA
Dermacentor silvarum is the source of this 3222-nucleotide RNA transcript. It is a transcript of the gene named calcitonin gene-related peptide type 1 receptor-like, with no coding region annotated. The record is from RefSeq and is a predicted model, not a curated record. The transcript has 14 exons. Lineage: Eukaryota; Metazoa; Arthropoda; Arachnida; Ixodida; Ixodidae.